RNAcentral lists this microRNA (21 nucleotides) under Gallus gallus (chicken). Its description in RNAcentral is "microRNA Ros-gga". Lineage: Eukaryota; Metazoa; Chordata; Aves; Galliformes; Phasianidae. The record is from RNAcentral.
UAAAGUGCAUCUAACGUAAAU